This 600-nucleotide ribosomal RNA is filed under the name Latilactobacillus sakei. Its description in RNAcentral is "bacterial SSU rRNA". It matches the Rfam family "Bacterial small subunit ribosomal RNA", at positions 653 to 1251 of the family's 1533-position model. The record is from RNAcentral. Lineage: Bacteria; Bacillati; Bacillota; Bacilli; Lactobacillales; Lactobacillaceae.
AGGAGACCAGGGGAACUCCGUGGGUAGCGGGGAAAUGCGUAGAUUUUUGGAAGGACCACCAGUGGCGAAGGCGGCUGUCUGGUCUGUAACUGCCGCUGAGGCUCGAAAGCAUGGGUUGCAACCAGGAUUUGGUACCCCGGUAGUCCAUGCCGUAAACGAUGAGUGCUAGGUGUUGGAGGGUUUCCGCCCUUCAGUGCCGCAGCUAACGCAUUAAGCACUCCGCCUGGGGAGUACGACCGCAAGGUUGAAACUCAAAGGAAUUGACGGGGGCCCGCACAAGCGGUGGAGCAUGUGGUUUAAUUCGAAGCAACGCGAAGAACCUUACCAGGUCUUGACAUCCUUUGACCACUCUAGAGAUAGAGCUUUCCCUUCGGGGACAAAGUGACAGGUGGUGCAUGGUUGUCGUCAGCUCGUGUCGUGAGAUGUUGGGUUAAGUCCCGCAACGAGCGCAACCCUUAUUACUAGUUGCCAGCAUUUAGUUGGGCACUCUAGUGAGACUGCCGGUGACAAACCGGAGGAAGGUGGGGACGACGUCAAAUCAUCAUGCCCCUUAUGACCUGGGCUACACACGUGCUACAAUGGAUGGUACAACGAGUUGCG